Molecule: ribosomal RNA, 497 nt
Filed under: uncultured bacterium
Lineage: Bacteria
Description: partial 16S ribosomal RNA
Rfam family: Bacterial small subunit ribosomal RNA
Source: RNAcentral
GACGAACGCUGGCGGCGUGCCUAAUACAUGCAAGUUGAGCGCUGAAGGUUGGUACUUGUACCAACUGGAUGAGCAGCGAACGGGUGAGUAACGCGUGGGGAAUCUGCCUUUGAGCGGGGGACAACAUUUGGAAACGAAUGCUAAUACCGCAUAAAAACUUUAAACACAAGUUUUAAGUUUGAAAGAUGCAAUUGCAUCACUCAAAGAUGAUCCCGCGUUGUAUUAGCUAGUUGGUGAGGUAAAGGCUCACCAAGGCGAUGAUACAUAGCCGACCUGAGAGGGUGAUCGGCCACAUUGGGACUGAGACACGGCCCAAACUCCUACGGGAGGCAGCAGUAGGGAAUCUUCAGCAAUAGACGAAAGUCUGACCGAGCAACGCCGCGUGAGUGAAGAAGGUUUUCGGAUCGUAAAACUCUGUUGGUAGAGAAGAACGUUGGUGAGAGUGGAAAGCUCAUCAAGUGACGGUAACUACCCAGAAAGGGACGGCUAACUACGUG